RNAcentral lists this ribosomal RNA (417 nucleotides) under uncultured bacterium. Its description in RNAcentral is "bacterial SSU rRNA". It matches the Rfam family "Bacterial small subunit ribosomal RNA", at positions 358 to 773 of the family's 1533-position model. The record is from RNAcentral.
GGAAUAUUGGGCAAUGGCCGAGAGGCUGACCCAGCCAUGCCGCGUGCAGGAAGAAGGACUUCUGGGUUGUCAACUGCUUUUACCUGGGAAGAAAACGCCACUGCGGGGGUAACUGACGGUACCAGAUGCAUAAGCACCGGCUAACUCCGUGCCAGCAGACGCGGUAAAACGGAGGGUGCAAGCGUUGUCCGGAUUUAUUGGGUUUAAAGGGUGCGUAGGCGGCCCGUUAAGUCAGCGGUGAAAUCCCGGGGCUCAACCCCGGAACUGCCGUUGAUACUGGCGGGCUUGAGUUCGGUCGAGGCGGGCGGAACUGGUGGUGUAGCGGUGAAAUGCAUAGAUACCACCAAGAACCCCGAUUGCGAAGGCAGCUCGCUGGCCCGAAACUGACGCUGAGGCACGAAAGCGUGGGGAGCGAAC